UCGGGAAUAUUGCGCAAUGGAGGAAACUCUGACGCAGUGACGCCGCGUGCAGGAAGAAGGUUUUCGGAUUGUAAACUGCUUUAGACAGGGAAGAAAAAAAUGACUGUACCUGUAGAAUAAGCUCCGGCUAACUACGUGCCAGCAGCCGCGGUAAUACGUAGGGAGCAAGCGUUAUCCGGAUUUAUUGGGUGUAAAGGGUGCGUAGACGGAUAAUCAAGUUGGUUGUGAAAUCCCUCGGCUUAACUGAGGAAUUGCAACCAAAACUGGUAAUCUUGAGUACUGGAGGGGAAAGCGGAAUUCCUAGUGUAGCGGUGAAAUGCGUAGAUAUUAGGAAGAACACCGGUGGCGAAGGCGGCUUUCUGGACAGAAACUGACGUUGAGGCACGAAAGUGUGGGGAGCAAACAGG
RNAcentral lists this ribosomal RNA (407 nucleotides) under uncultured bacterium. Its description in RNAcentral is "bacterial SSU rRNA". It matches the Rfam family "Bacterial small subunit ribosomal RNA", at positions 355 to 776 of the family's 1533-position model. The record is from RNAcentral.